GAGCGGUAGAGAGGUGCUUGCACCUCUUGAGAGCGGCGGACGGGUGAGUAAUGCCUAGGAAUCUGCCUGGUAGUGGGGGAUAACGCUCGGAAACGGACGCUAAUACCGCAUACGUCCUACGGGAGAAAGCAGGGGACCUUCGGGCCUUGCGCUAUCAGAUGAGCCUAGGUCGGAUUAGCUAGUUGGUGAGGUAAUGGCUCACCAAGGCGACGAUCCGUAACUGGUCUGAGAGGAUGAUCAGUCACACUGGAACUGAGACACGGUCCAGACUCCUACGGGAGGCAGCAGUGGGGAAUAUUGGACAAUGGGCGAAAGCCUGAUCCAGCCAUGCCGCGUGUGUGAAGAAGGUCUUCGGAUUGUAAAGCACUUUAAGUUGGGAGGAAGGGCAUUAACCUAAUACGUUAGUGUUUUGACGUUACCGACAGAAUAAGCACCGGCUAACUCUGUGCCAGCAGCCGCGGUAAUACAGAGGGUGCAAGCGUUAAUCGGAAUUACUGGGCGUAAAGCGCGCGUAGGUGGUUCGUUAAGUUGGAUGUGAAAUCCCCGGGCUCAACCUGGGAACUGCAUUCAAAACUGUCGAGCUAGAGUAUGGUAGAGGGUGGUGGAAUUUCCUGUGUAGCGGUGAAAUGCGUAGAUAUAGGAAGGAA
This 647-nucleotide ribosomal RNA is filed under the name Pseudomonas sp. EA_R_16. RNAcentral describes it as "bacterial SSU rRNA". It matches the Rfam family "Bacterial small subunit ribosomal RNA", at positions 64 to 706 of the family's 1533-position model. Lineage: Bacteria; Pseudomonadati; Pseudomonadota; Gammaproteobacteria; Pseudomonadales; Pseudomonadaceae. The record is from RNAcentral.